RNAcentral lists this transfer RNA (82 nucleotides) under Podarcis lilfordi (Lilford's wall lizard). RNAcentral's name for it is "tRNA.Lys". The stretch from base 17 to 74 matches the Rfam family "tRNA", at positions 8 to 63 of the family's 71-position model. Rfam says of the family: Transfer RNA (tRNA) molecules are approximately 80 nucleotides in length. Lineage: Eukaryota; Metazoa; Chordata; Lepidosauria; Squamata; Lacertidae. The record is from RNAcentral.
GCCUUAAGCUUUGAGAUAGCUCAGUUGGCAGAGCAUGAGACUCUUAAUCUCAGGGUUGUGGGUUUGAGCCCCACGUUGGGCA